Molecule: ribosomal RNA, 292 nt
Filed under: uncultured bacterium
Lineage: Bacteria
Description: partial 16S ribosomal RNA
Rfam family: Bacterial small subunit ribosomal RNA
Source: RNAcentral
GUGCCAGCAGCCGCGGUAACACGUAGGGCGCAAGCGUGGUCCGGAAUUAUUGGGCGUAAAGAGCGUGUAGGCGGCCAGAUAGGUCUGCUGUGAAAACUCGAGGCUCAACCUCGAGCUGUCGGCGGAAACCGUAUGGCUAGAGUCCGGAAGAGGAGAGUGGAAUUCCCGGUGUAGCGGUGAAAUGCGCAGAUAUCAGGAGGAACACCUAUGGCGAAGGCAGCUCUCUGGGACGGUACUGACGCUGAGACGCGAAAGCGUGGGGAGCGAACAGGAUUAGAUACCCUCGUAGUCC